CGUAACUACGUCAGUCUCCUCUCCAGCGUCCUAAACAGACUCAGCCUGGACACCGAGGCCAACACGAACGCACAGAGACGCACACGCAGUGUUCUCAUUAGCACAGUGUGUGAGCUCGAGAGCAGUGGACAGGCAUCAAUGGUGGACAACAUCUGCAUUCUCAAAAACCUUUUAGAAGUCACAACUCAGGUGACAUUAGCGAGUGUAAGACGAGUGACGGUUCACGUUCAGCUCAUCUCAGAGCGGUGUUCAGAGUCCGGUGCUCCGGCCCAGUACUACCUGGAGCAGAAGACACUCCACACCCUGCUGGCUCUGCUCUCACACAGCCUGCAAGCUGCUGGUCACGACUUCACACCAGAAAUAUCCACCGGUGCUGACGUUACAUUAGAAUCAGAACCACCUGAUGAAACACAGAACUCAUCCGGUGU
This 428-nucleotide long non-coding RNA is filed under the name Cottoperca gobio. RNAcentral's name for it is "lncRNA (ENSCGOG00000018935.1)". The record is from RNAcentral. Lineage: Eukaryota; Metazoa; Chordata; Actinopteri; Perciformes; Bovichtidae.